This 253-nucleotide ribosomal RNA is filed under the name uncultured bacterium. RNAcentral describes it as "partial 16S ribosomal RNA". It matches the Rfam family "Bacterial small subunit ribosomal RNA", at positions 524 to 776 of the family's 1533-position model. The record is from RNAcentral.
GACGGAGGGUGCUAGCGUCGUUCGGAAUGACUGGGCGUGAAGGGCGCGUAGGCGGCCGCUUGCGUCGGAUGUGAAAGCCCGGGGCUCAACCCCGGAACGGCAUCCGAUACGGGGCGGCUCGAGACCGAGAGAGGUGAGUGGAAUACCCAGUGUAGAGGUGAAAUUCGUAGAUAUUGGGUGGAACACCGGUGGCGAAAGCGGCUCACUGGCUCGGUUCUGACGCUGAGGCGCGAAAGCGUGGGGAGCAAACAGG